This 254-nucleotide ribosomal RNA is filed under the name uncultured prokaryote. RNAcentral describes it as "partial 16S ribosomal RNA". It matches the Rfam family "Bacterial small subunit ribosomal RNA", at positions 524 to 777 of the family's 1533-position model. The record is from RNAcentral.
UACGGAGGAUGCGAGCGUUAUCCGGAUUUAUUGGGUUUAAAGGGUGCGUAGGCUGGUAAUUAAGUCAGUGGUGAAAUACUCCGGCUCAACCGGGGGGCUGCCGUUGAUACUGGUUACCUUGAGUUUAGAUGAUGUGGGCGGAAUGUGUCAUGUAGCGGUGAAAUGCAUAGAGAUGACACAGAACACCGAUAGCGAAGGCAGCUCACAAAGCUAUUACUGACGCUGAUGCACGAAAGCGUGGGGAUCGAACAGGA